RNAcentral lists this unclassified non-coding RNA (2381 nucleotides) under Haliotis rufescens (red abalone). RNAcentral's name for it is "glycerol-3-phosphate dehydrogenase, mitochondrial- like, transcript variant X5". The record is from RNAcentral. Lineage: Eukaryota; Metazoa; Mollusca; Gastropoda; Lepetellida; Haliotidae.
AUUUGCCGUACAGAAAAUAGUUUAUUUGAAGUUUCGCCUGACGCAAGGUUGGUCAAGGUUGUGCGGUGCAAAAGUGACCCGGAAAGCGUUGUUACUGCGAGAUCAACAAGCUUUGCGUAUCUUGGAUUUGUCGACAACACAAGCAACUUCUGCUUGUGAUGGUUUGACUGAGAGCUAGCUGUUCAACAUGCGAGUGCGGCCCCAGACUGUGAAGCGACUGGUUUAUGCCGGUGUCGCUGCCGGUGGUGGGGUGUUUGUAGCGACAUUCAUCUACCCUAGACUCUCUGUAAAGAAGACAGAGCUGGGACGAGUGUUGGCAGCAGAUGUCCAGCAGCAGUACAGCAAUGCACCUCUGCCCCUACGGGAGGACAUCCACAACCGACUGGCCACAGAGGAGUUUGAUGUCCUGGUGGUGGGAGGUGGUGCCACAGGAUGUGGAGUGGCACUGGAUGCUGUCAGUCGAGGCUUGAAGACAUCUCUGGUUGAGAAGUUUGACUACUCAGCCGGAACCAGCAGCAGAAGCACGAAGUUGAUCCAUGGCGGCGUCCGGUACCUGCAGAAGGCAGUCUUCAACCUUGACUAUGAACAGUAUCGGAUGGUGAAGGAAGCCCUUGCAGAAAGAGCUAACCUGAUUGAAAUCGCCCCACAUCUUGCCUACCCGUUCCCCAUCAUGUUGCCUGUAUACAAGUGGUGGCAGGUGCCGUACUUCUGGGCGGGGAUCAAGAUGUACGACCUGGUGGCGGGGAAGCAGCUGCUCAAGUCCAGCUACUACCUGUCCAAGAAGAAGGCCCUGGAGUUGUUCCCCAUGCUGAAGAAGGACAGGCUUGUUGGUGCUCUGGUCUACUAUGAUGGUCAGCAUGACGACGCUCGGAUGAACAUUUCAUUGGCGAUGACAGCAGUGAGGAUGGGCGGGGCACUCACAAACCACACGGAGGUCGUUCAUCUACUCAAGACCAUGGAUGGGGAGGGGAAGGAGACAGUGUGUGGAGCUCAUGUUAAAGAUUUAAUUUCUGGUAAAGAGUUUGAUAUUAAAGCAAAGUGUGUGAUAAAUGCAACUGGGCCGUACACGGACUCCCUGCGUAAAAUGUCCAACCCUCAGGUGCGGAAAAUCUGCCAACCCAGCUCAGGCGUACAUAUUGUGCUACCUGACUACUACAGUCCUGAGAGUAUGGGUUUGCUUGAUCCAUCCACCAGUGACGGGAGGGUCAUCUUCUUCCUGCCCUGGCAGAAAGUUACACUAGCAGGUACGACGGACAGCCCGUGUGAUGUCACGGACUACCCACAACCCACAGAGAAAGAGAUUCAGUUCAUACUUAAUGAGAUCAGGAAUUAUUUGAAUCCAGAUGUUGAAGUGCGGAGAGGAGAUGUGUUGUCUGCCUGGAGUGGCCUGAGGCCACUUGUAGCUGACCCAAACAAAUCUGAUACUCAAUCCAUUGCUAGAAACCACAUUAUAGAAGUCGCUUCUGAUCAUCUUAUAACAAUAGCAGGAGGGAAAUGGACGACGUAUCGUCACAUGGCGCAGGAGACCAUUGACAAGGCUGUGGAGGUGUGUGGCCUGACACCCACCUCGGGCUGCCGCACACAGGGUCUGAUGGUGGAGGGAUCUCAUGGCUUCACGCCCACACUCUUCAUCAGACUCGUCCAGGACUUUGGUCUGGAAAAUGAAGUUGCUCAGCAUCUUGCCAACACAUAUGGAGACAAGGCAUUUAAAGUGGCCAAGCUUGCCAACCUGACAGGACGGCGGUGGCCGAUUGUGGGGAGGAGAUUAUCAGAGGAAUACCCGUAUACAGAGGCCGAGGUAAAGUACGCUGUGCGGGAAUAUGCCUGUUCAGCAAUAGAUGUUUUGGCACGACGUACUCGUCUGGCAUUCUGCAACGUCCACGCAGCGGAGGAGGCCCUGCCACGCAUCAUCGAAAUCAUGGCUGAAGAACUAAAGUGGAAUAAAACAAAACAGAAGGAGGAGACGGAGAGAGCAAAGCGCUUCCUCCGCAGGGAGAUGGGUCUCGACAUUAAAAAGGCCUCGGAAAUGCAGGCUCCGAUUAACUUCACCAAGGAUGAAAUCAACAUGUACGUGAAGAGAUUCAAGGGCCUGGACUAUGACAACAAGGGCUACAUCACCAUCAAUGACCUGCGUAGAUACUUCAAGAAACUUGCCUAUUUUGAAAAAAAUUGGAGAAAGAGUGACUGAAGAUCAGCUUCAUGACAUUCUCAGUGAAGUCGACCUCAACAAGAAUGCUCAAGUUGACCUUGGCGAGUACCUCCAGACAAACAAAAGCACAAACACUUGUUGCCAUGGUAACCUUGGUAGCUCAUGAGUGCUCUUAAGAGUGGCCGGGUGUCCAACUCACGACUAGCCAUGGCAGCGGAGCAGAGCGCAGAAA